UAGGGAAUCUUCGGCAAUGGGGGGAACCCUGACCGAGCAACGCCGCGUGAGUGAAGAAGGUUUUCGGAUCGUAAAGCUCUGUUGUUAAGGAAGAACGAGUGUGAGAAUGGAAAGUUCAUGCUGUGACGGUACUUAACCAGAAAGGGACGGCUAACUACGUGCCAGCAGCCGCGGUAAUACGUAGGUCCCGAGCGUUGUCCGGAUUUAUUGGGCGUAAAGCGAGCGCAGGCGGUUAGAAAAGUCUGAAGUGAAAGGCAGUGGCUCAACCAUUGUAGGCGUUGGAAAGUGUUUAACUUGAGUGCAGAAGGGGAGAGUGGAAUUCCAUGUGUAGCGGUGAAAUGCGUAGAUAUAUGGAGGAACACCGGUGGCGAAAGCGGCUCUCUGGUCUGUAACUGACGCUGAGGCUCGAAAGCGUGGGGAGCGAACAGG
RNAcentral lists this ribosomal RNA (429 nucleotides) under Bacteroidota bacterium. RNAcentral's name for it is "Bacteroidetes bacterium partial 16S ribosomal RNA". It matches the Rfam family "Bacterial small subunit ribosomal RNA", at positions 355 to 776 of the family's 1533-position model. The record is from RNAcentral. Lineage: Bacteria; Pseudomonadati; Bacteroidota.